This 86-nucleotide transfer RNA is filed under the name Streptomyces alanosinicus. RNAcentral describes it as "tRNA-Ser". Lineage: Bacteria; Bacillati; Actinomycetota; Actinomycetes; Kitasatosporales; Streptomycetaceae. The record is from RNAcentral.
GCCGUAGCCGGGCUGCGGAGCCUGCGGCUGCUGACCGUACGGGCCCGGCUGGCCCGGCUGGCCGUACGGACCCGGCUGCUGGGGCU